This is a long non-coding RNA of Sycon ciliatum, 1193 nucleotides long. RefSeq lists it as uncharacterized. Lineage: Eukaryota; Metazoa; Porifera; Calcarea; Leucosolenida; Sycettidae. The record is from RefSeq and is a predicted model, not a curated record. The transcript has 3 exons.
GUUUUGUUUCUUAUUCGACGAACUGAAACUGUGAAAGACUAGAUUGUAGACUCUACGCGUAUACGUAGAGCGGCUACAAAGUAGGGCCCUAGCCUAGGGCCUAGGCCAGGGACGAACGAAAAGAGGUCGAGUGCAUGCUGAGUGUGGUCCGCUCGUUGCAAAAAGUAGAAUAUAUUUCACCGUGACUCUACCGAGCUAGGAAAGGAAGCAGCAAAACGAGGGGAAAUGGUCCAGGUGGGGUAUGCCAUUUACAGAGCAUCUAGCUAGCUGGUCAGACGAAUUCCCGGCAAGGAUUUUGCCACAGGGAGCGAUAUUCGACGCUUUCGAGAAGGCCAUUACCCCAAGCAACAGUCAUCUUUGACGAGCUAUCGAAGCCCUGGUAGAGGCCAUUGUACCCUCGUCAGAAGGCGCUCUGGCGGACUGCUCAAGAGCUGUUACUUCCAAGUACAGUACCUGUACUGUUAGAGACGACUUGGUCGCCAACCUCAAUCCAGUCACGGUCGGCCGUUGCCGCAGCGGAAGCAGCGACCGCGCCCGCACUGGUCAGAGGAGCACACCCAUGGCAGUCACGUCCACGGUCGAUCGGUCCACCCCUCCAGCGCCAGAGUAGCCUGUAGGCAGUAGCACACGCCGCGGCAAUGCCAGCUGAUGGCUGGGAGGUGCGGAGACGCCUGUGCGUACGGGGACCUUACCCACCGACCCGGAACCGGUGGACGAAAGACGCAGGAGUUUCUCGAUCAAGGAAUGAUGAAGAUUGUUGACGGGAUCCCUGGCCUGGGAUGCAAAGAAAAAGCCGCCUGGUCUGGCUCAUAAUAUUGCCGGCCAGUUUCAGUCUUCAUUAGUGCAAGACAGCUAGUGGAGGAUGACAACCUCUAGUGGAGGAUUGCCUGGACCACGCCUGGUGUUACUAUGUACACUUGACUGUGUGUGACCAUUAACAGUUCGUACACAGGUUGAAGAGCAUUGUAAGCACAUCCAUUUCCGUCAGCGUACACACAGCACACUUGACAGCGGCAAGUAGAUGAUGAGAGCGGAUAACUGAAGACAUCACUGCGAUCAGUUCGGCCGAGUAACUCUGAGCUUCGCUGAUGAGACCUAACAAGGUCAAAACGGCUAGCUGUCCGGAGAUUGAGUACGACGACACCUGUAGUGAUAGCACAUGCAAGCUGCUAUUCACCCUUGUCUGGAGAUUA